UCAAAAUGAUGUAAAACAAUAAUCCGAAGAAACCAUGUGGUAUCACAAAUAUACGAGCUUUUUAACACUGAUUACG
Ostrinia nubilalis (European corn borer) is the source of this 76-nucleotide small nucleolar RNA. Lineage: Eukaryota; Metazoa; Arthropoda; Insecta; Lepidoptera; Crambidae. The record is from RefSeq and is a predicted model, not a curated record.